AUAUUGGAAAAGACAAUUUAAAAAAUAUAUCAAGAUAUUUUAUAGGUACCCUAAGCUUCAAAUCUGUAUAUUUUAAACAAUCCUACCCACAGAAACUGCUUCAUGGGAAGCCCAAAUUAACAUUUUGUAUGAAAACAAUUACAAAAGCUACUAUAUGGUAUGGAAAAUAAACUGAAAAUGGAAUGAGUGCCUUAAUUAUAUCAGUGUAGGAUGAGGACAAAGGAGAAGAAGUUAAAAUUAUGAAUCUUAAGGAAUUGAAGAAAAUUGCAUUUUACGGAGGAGUAUCUGACUAGACUUGGUAAGUGAGGCUAAACACAAUGUUGCCCUUGAAGCUUUCUGGAAAAAUUGCUC
This 351-nucleotide long non-coding RNA is filed under the name Castor canadensis (American beaver). RNAcentral's name for it is "lncRNA (ENSCCNG00000029881.1)". Lineage: Eukaryota; Metazoa; Chordata; Mammalia; Rodentia; Castoridae. The record is from RNAcentral.